GCUAGGCAUGGUGGCGUGUGCCUGAAGUCCCAGCUACACGGGAGGCUGAGGUGGGAGGAUUGCUUGAGCGCAGAAGUUUUGAGCUGCACAGUGCACUAUGCCAAUGGGGUGUCAACACUAAGACUGGCAUCAAUAUUAUGACCUCCUGGAGGGAACGAGGGACCACCACAUUGCCUAAGGAGGGGUGAACUGGCCCAGCUUGGAAAUGGAGCAGGUCAAAAUUCCCUUGCCGAUAGGUAGUGGGAUCAAACCUGUGAAAGCCACUGCACUGCAACCUGGCAACACAGCAAGACCUCACCUCU
RNAcentral lists this signal recognition particle RNA (302 nucleotides) under Prolemur simus (greater bamboo lemur). Its description in RNAcentral is "Metazoan signal recognition particle RNA (ENSPSMG00000020943.1)". It matches the Rfam family "Metazoan signal recognition particle RNA". From Rfam's summary of the family: The signal recognition particle (SRP) is a universally conserved ribonucleoprotein. It is involved in the co-translational targeting of proteins to membranes. The eukaryotic SRP consists of a 300-nucleotide 7S RNA and six proteins: SRPs 72, 68, 54, 19, 14, and 9. The record is from RNAcentral. Lineage: Eukaryota; Metazoa; Chordata; Mammalia; Primates; Lemuridae.